UGGGGAAUUUUGGACAAUGGGCGAAAGCCUGAUCCAGCAAUGCCGCGUGUGUGAAGAAGGCCUUCGGGUUGUAAAGCACUUUUGUCCGGAAAGAAAUCCUUGGCUCUAAUACAGUCGGGGGAUGACGGUACCGGAAGAAUAAGCACCGGCUAACUACGUGCCAGCAGCCGCGGUAAUACGUAGGGUGCAAGCGUUAAUCGGAAUUACUGGGCGUAAAGCGUGCGCAGGCGGUUUGCUAAGACCGAUGUGAAAUCCCCGGGCUCAACCUGGGAACUGCAUUGGUGACUGGCAGGCUAGAGUAUGGCAGAGGGGGGUAGAAUUCCACGUGUAGCAGUGAAAUGCGUAGAGAUGUGGAGGAAUACCGAUGGCGAAGGCAGCCCCCUGGGCCAAUACUGACGCUCAUGCACGAAAGCGUGGGGAGCAAACAGGAUUAGAUACCCUGGUAGUCCACGCCCUAAAACGAUGUCAACUAGUUGUUGGGGAUUCAUUUCCUUAGUAACGUAGCUAACGCGUGAAGUUGACCGCCUGGGGAGUACGGUCGCAAGAUUAAAACUCAAAUGAAUUGACGGGGUCAAGCUGUUUCCU
This 585-nucleotide ribosomal RNA is filed under the name uncultured bacterium. RNAcentral describes it as "partial 16S ribosomal RNA". It matches the Rfam family "Bacterial small subunit ribosomal RNA", at positions 355 to 938 of the family's 1533-position model. The record is from RNAcentral.